GAUUACUUCUGAACAACUGGGCCCUGGGGACCAACCCACCAACUGCCUGACCAACCAGCAUUGCCAUCCACAAUGCUAUGCCAUCAGCAUGGGUGGACAUUAUGGGCUGUGAUUCCGAGCUGAACUGGUCACACCAUCGGUCCAGCUGCUCCUCCUGCCUCGAGCAGCAGACGCACAUUCUCCCAGAGGUCCCAGCAGCUCAGCGGUGUCCUGAAGUUACCAGGACUGCGGGAUGUAUUGUGACAGACUUUAAAUGUGUGGAAGAGGAGCCCUCGUCACCCAUCACCUCUGUGAGAUGAAAGGCCCCGAAAGCAGCCAGCCACCCUGCUGGACACAGCUCAGCUGUUAUAAGAAGUGUUUGACAGGAGUGGCAGAUACAAACAACUUAAAGGGAAUAUUUGCAGCCGCGGAAGAGCUCUGUGUUUCUGGCUGUAAAGCAAGCUGGUGAUGGCGAAUCAGAAACAAAUAGACUACAAAUGAUGCAUUUCCUGUCCCCUCUCACUCAGAGGAAGGACUCUCAUCACAUUGCAUUUCUUUCUAACACUCUCCUGAACCAGCGAGGAACCAGCACGACCCCCCCUGACCAUCUUACUCCCCC
Molecule: long non-coding RNA, 598 nt
Organism: Epinephelus moara (kelp grouper)
Lineage: Eukaryota; Metazoa; Chordata; Actinopteri; Perciformes; Serranidae
Exons: 6
Source: RefSeq, a predicted model, not a curated record